Pongo abelii (Sumatran orangutan) is the source of this 151-nucleotide unclassified non-coding RNA. It matches the Rfam family "Metazoan signal recognition particle RNA". Rfam says of the family: The signal recognition particle (SRP) is a universally conserved ribonucleoprotein. It is involved in the co-translational targeting of proteins to membranes. The eukaryotic SRP consists of a 300-nucleotide 7S RNA and six proteins: SRPs 72, 68, 54, 19, 14, and 9. The record is from Ensembl. NCBI's taxonomy places the organism in Eukaryota, Metazoa, Chordata, Mammalia, Primates, Hominidae.
GCCAGGUGUAGUGGCGUGUGCCUGUAGUCCUAGCUACUUGGGAGGCUGAGGCAGGAGAAUUGCUUGAGCCCAGGAGUUUGAGGUUACAGUCAGCUCAGCUAUGAUCACCAUUGCUUUUCAGCCUGGGCAACUAAGCAAGACCCUGUCUCUG